RNAcentral lists this small RNA (97 nucleotides) under Escherichia coli. Its description in RNAcentral is "partial RtT sRNA". It matches the Rfam family "RtT RNA", at positions 34 to 130 of the family's 130-position model. Rfam says of the family: This family represents a bacterial cis-regulatory element known as RtT RNA. The record is from RNAcentral. Lineage: Bacteria; Pseudomonadati; Pseudomonadota; Gammaproteobacteria; Enterobacterales; Enterobacteriaceae.
GACCAAGGUUCGACUCGAGCGCCAGCGAGAGAGCGUUGCCGCAGGCAGACCCGAAGGGCGAAGCGCGCAGCGCUGAGUAAUCCUUCCCCCACCACCA